CUGGCUAUUUCUUCAUCUAUGCUUUACUUCGCUUCCCUUCCUCUUGCUCUGCAAAAGAAGCAAAUCUCUUGUUGCUAGCUGCCUUCUCCUCGUCCAUGGCGUGCAUCAACAUAAACAUCAACAUUGACGUCAACAGAUGCCUGAGCGAGCUGCGGACAUUGCUGAAAUUACUGCUCAGGCCAAAAUCUGGCAUCCAGAAAUUGGAAAAGGAAAUGGCAAUAUUGAGAGGCAAAAGGGACGACAUCAUGAACCAGAUCGACCUGGCGGAGCGCGAGGGGCAAAUUCCGACCCACGAAUGGAUCCUGUGGUUACAUAAGAUGGAGGAAUUGGAAGGCCAAGUGGCCGCUAUCGAGCAGGAUUUCCAAAGCAUGAGUUGCUUCAGUUGUCAUUGCUUCAAUCGAGCUGGCGGCACGUCGAGUCAAACACAGCAAGCAAAGUCAUCGAACUUCUAUUCCAUCAUUCGAAGAAUGGCUAACACACUCGACGAGGCUAAUGAAUUGAUGAGCCUAACUGGUGCACUGGUUCCGAUUGCCGGAUUUUGGCCUUGGAGAUUCACCACGAGGCUUCCCAUCCCACACCUACCACCUGUUGGGAUUGAGUCGUAUUUGGAUGACAUUGUGGGCUACAUCAAUGGUGGAGAAGGCAGCACCAUAGGCAUCUACGGAAUGGGUGGUGUCGGUAAGACCACCAUUCUGAUGAGCAUCCAACAGCACUACUAUCUUCUUGAGGAUACCAUAUUUGAUCGUGUCAUUUGGGUUGUGGCCUCCCACUGUCAAUUGAAAAGGCUCCAGAUGGAUAUUGCUAUGAGUCUAGGACUGAAGACACUGAAGGAGAGUGAUGAUGAACAAACUUGUGGUGAUAAGCUGUUUAGCUAUUUGAAGAACAAGUCCUGUUUGCUGCUUCUUGAUGACAUUUGGGAACAUCUGGAUCUUCAACUGUCGGGGAUGACACACUUGGCCACUGAGCAAAGCCAGCAGCAGCAGCAGCAGCAGAAGCAGCCGCGCAAAGUAGUGGUGUUCACAACCCGCAGCGAGACAAUGUGUGCACAAAUGAAUGCAGAAAAGAAGAUCAAAGUCGAAUGUCUGAAUCCAGAUCAAGCAUGGCAACUCUUUGAGCAGAACAGUGAUGGGGAUGUUCUCAGCUCAGAUGCUCAAAUUAAGUUAGCUGCUAAAGAACUUGUUAAAGAAUGUGGAGGACUUCCACUCGCUCUUAUCACCACCGCUAAGGCUAUGUCAGGGAAAAAGUCUUGGGAAGUUUGGUAUGAUACUCUUUAUAUGAUAAGGGAUAAACAUGAGUCGAUACCCAUUGGUCUUCCAAAAGAAUCACUCCCUAUGUAUAAAUCCUUCAAGUUGAGGUAUGACAGUUUAGAAAAUGACUUGAUAAGAGAAUGCCUUUUGUGUUGCGUUUUGUGGCCUAAAGAUUAUGACAUCCACAAAUUUGAUGAGUUGAUACCGUGUUGGAUUGGUUGCGGCAUAAUCAAUAAAUUUAAUGUAAUCAAUGAAGCUUUCCACGAAGGAUGCUGCCAUUUGGAAACUCUCAUAGCUGCAUCCUUGCUAGAGGACUCUAGACGGCAGAAUUAUUACAAAGCUGAACAUGUAAAGAUGCCUAACACCAUCCGAGACAUGGCACUAUUGAUGGUCUCUGAGUUGAAGGGAAAUGGAAGGAAAUGGAUUGUAAAAGCUGGAAUUGAAUUGAGCCAUCUGCCUAGACAAGAGGAGCGGCAAGAAGCAGAGCGAGCAUCAUUCAUGAGGAAUAAUAUUACAUCUUUACAAGACUAUGAAGCUUCCACUCUUUCAAAACUUUGUAUUUUGAUUCUCCAUGGUAACCAUCUGUCAAAGAUUCCUCCAACUCUGCUCACAAACAUGCCUCUUUUAACAUACUUGAGUCUCUCUCGCAAUUUUGGUAUAGAAGAGCUUCCAAAGGAGAUUGGUAGCUUAACUAAGCUUCAAUAUUUAAACUUGUCCUCCACUGAUAUUAAAAGUCUGCCGCUCGAGUUUGGUCGCCUAAAAAAAUUAGAGUAUUUGCUCCUCAGGAAUACUAGAAUUAAGACUAUACCCAAUGAGAUAAUGUCCAAUUUAUCAAUGCUCAAGUGGCUGGAUAUAGGAGGAUAUUUUCCUGUAUGUGACUCGUGGUUGAAUGAGCUGAAAUGUUUAAGAGAAGAACACCACAAAAUCAGUCUAGGAAUUACCAUUAAUCCAGCUAUCUUUGAAAUAUUGAACAUGUUACCAAAUGUCUCCGUAUGGAACCUCACUGUGAGUGGAUCGGAAAGUUCAAAAUUUUCAGUUCACAAUCUGGGCACUUUAAAAUGGAGUCAUAGAAUAAGUGACAACCUUGAGUGUCUAACUAUUUUAGAUGUCCCGGGAGACGAAUUAGCAAUAAAUGCAGGUGUGGACUAUGAAUCAAGUUUCGGAUGUUUGAAAACUCUCUAUUUUAGAAGACUAGGAAAAUUGAAAAACAUUCGAUGGAAUGGAGUUGGGUUCAACAAUCUUCACGACCUAUACAUUUCUGAUUGCUACAUGUUGAAGGAUGUUUCUUGGGUUCUGCAAUUGCCUUGCCUUGAUUUUCUACGCAUAUCAAAUUGUUGGGAAAUGGAGGAACUAAUCAGUAAUGUUGGGAACUUCAAUUCAAGCUUUGGCAUCAAGAUGUUGAUUUUGUUUCAAAUGAAUAAUCUGCAUCGCAUUUCACAUCAACCACUCCAUUUUCCCAACUUGAAGAACAUAAACGUGUGCCAUUGCCCCAGGCUAAAAAAAUUACCAUUUGGGACUGGAAUAUUGAGGAGUGGAUUAAAAGAGAUUAUAGGUGAUCAAACUUGGUGGGACAGCUUGGUUUGGGAUGACAACAGCAAUAGAGAUUCCCUCACCACUUUGUUUAGGAAUCAACUUGACUAGCUCGAUUAUUGUGUCUGUUAACAACUUUAAAGACAAGUUGAAUCUCUCGUCUCGGCUCAGAUUGAAGACUAAUUUCACGAAGAAACUUGGGCAUUUGGAGCAUGAAGAUAAUUACCCGUAAAGGCCAGAUCCUAUAUUGGUCGAACUCGCUCAACAAAACUGCUUUGCGAGCGACAUAAUCGAAAGGAGAGACAAGGUUUGGAAGAAACACGGAAGUGGAAUUUGGCGUCGAGGAAGCUGGAAGUGAAUUAUGGCAUCUUCAGGCCAGUUCGAUGUUGUCUCCUUGCUCGUAAUAGCAUUGGGCAAGAGGGGCAUUAUGGAGAAGGCGCAUAGGUGGAGGGAGAUCUCAGCAUAUUUUUUGUGGAGAGCUAGCAACUUUGUAAGACUGCUCUCAGCAUAGUUUAUCACGAUAUUGCUGAUCUGAGAUCAAUUUUGUUAGAAACAAGAGCAAAGUUUAUGUUACAAGGAGGAUAUUACGAAAUCGUCGAGCAACUUUGUAGCACUGCUUUCAGCAUUUUGGAGGGGGUGGAUCAUCCAUGACCAGGAACACCCUCAAACAUGUGUUACUCGACUCUUGUUGUGAGAUUUAUAUCUGUAAAUCAUUGCAAGCCACA
Molecule: RNA transcript, 3502 nt
Organism: Zingiber officinale
Lineage: Eukaryota; Viridiplantae; Streptophyta; Magnoliopsida; Zingiberales; Zingiberaceae
Gene name: probable disease resistance protein At1g61300
Exons: 4
Source: RefSeq, a predicted model, not a curated record